UACGUAGGGUGCGAGCGUUGUCCGGAAUUAUUGGGCGUAACGAGCUCGUAGGCGGCUUGUCGCGUCGGUUGUGAAAGCCCGGGGCUUAACUCCGGGUCUGCAGUCGAUACGGGCAGGCUAGAGUGUGGUAGGGGAGAUCGGAAUUCCUGGUGUAGCGGUGAAAUGCGCAGAUAUCAGGAGGAACACCGGUGGCGAAGGCGGAUCUCUGGGCCAUUACUGACGCUGAGGAGCGAAAGCGUGGGGAGCGAACAGG
This 253-nucleotide ribosomal RNA is filed under the name uncultured bacterium. Its description in RNAcentral is "partial 16S ribosomal RNA". It matches the Rfam family "Bacterial small subunit ribosomal RNA", at positions 524 to 776 of the family's 1533-position model. The record is from RNAcentral.